RNAcentral lists this ribosomal RNA (510 nucleotides) under Triticum aestivum (bread wheat). Its description in RNAcentral is "partial small subunit ribosomal RNA". The record is from RNAcentral. Lineage: Eukaryota; Viridiplantae; Streptophyta; Magnoliopsida; Poales; Poaceae.
AUGACAUGCCUGAGUUGGAACUGCCGGGGGCUUGGGAAUCCCGAGGCAGUUCGUGAGCUUCGCAGCAUUGUGAAGCUGGAAGGACCCACCCUACUCUUCGUCAUGGAAACAAAGAUUAAUGCAAAAAGAGUAGAGGAUUUGAGGUAUACUCUAGGUUUUGGUAGUUGUUUUACGGUUGACAGUGUCAGCCUGAGUGGCGGCAUAGGUCUGUUUUGGUCUCGCGGCAUGACUGUUGAAUUAAGGAACUACAGCAACUGUCACAUUGACGUUCUGGUUAAUGGUAAUGACCAGAAUUCUUCUCCUCCGUGGAGAUUUACCGGUUUUUACGGGGCGCCGCGUCCGGCUGAUCGUAGCGAUCGUUGGCAGCUUUUGCGAAACUUGUUUGCUCUACCCCAUGCUGCUUGGUUGUCUAUGGGGGAUUACAAUGAAACUUUAUUCGCGUCUAAACAUUUCAGCAGACGAGCGAGACCUGAAGCGCAAAUGAGAGCAUUUUGGGAGGUAACUGAUUAA